RNAcentral lists this small RNA (2960 nucleotides) under Pan troglodytes (chimpanzee). RNAcentral's name for it is "retained intron". The record is from RNAcentral. Lineage: Eukaryota; Metazoa; Chordata; Mammalia; Primates; Hominidae.
UACAAACAGGCCGUCCACGAGCUUGUGCGUUGCGUAGCACUGACAAGAAUUUGCUAUGGAGACUCACAUUGGAAACUAGCAGAGGCACAUGUUAAUCUGGCUCAAGGCUACCUCCAGCUGAAAGGACUGUCACUGCAAGCGAAACAACAUGCAGAAAUAGCCAGACAAAUCCUCGCCAACUCCAUUGUGCCUCCCUAUAGUGAGAACACAGAUGUUUUCAAGUUUUCCAUUGAGCUUUUCCAUACCAUGGGCAGAGCUUUACUCUCCCUUCAAAAGUAUCCUUUUGCCUCUAACUUUUACAAAUAGAAAUACUAUUCACGUAAUACUUACAUGCCAAGUAAAAAGCUGAUGCUGAUGGAUGACUUAGGAAGUGUGAUCGGAAGUAUGGGAGCCAAGGAAGUUCAGGACAUGGGGUGUAGAAUCUAGUACCAAGUGGAAAAUUUCCUGAACACAGUUCAGAUUUAAGGAAGCUGCAGAGAAUUUGACAAAAGCAGAGAGACUUUCAAAGGAGCUGCUACAAUGUGGAAGGAUUAUAAAGGAAGAAUGGAUAGAAAUUGAAGCACGAAUCAGAUUAUCAUUUGCACAGGUGUAUCAAGGUCAGAAGAAAUCAAAAGAAGCUUUGUCCCACUAUCAAGCAGCUUUGGAAUAUGUUGGGAUCAGUAAAGGUGAAACAAGUCAUGAGUGUGUACCCAUAUUGAGAGAAUUAGCAGGUGUAGAGCAAGCCCUGGGACUCCACGAUGUAUCCAUCAACCACUUCCUCCAGGCACAUCUCAUCAUCCUGAGUAGAAGCCCCUCUCAAGUGGAGGCAGCAGACUCGGCACACAUCGUCGCCCACGCUGCUGUCGCUUCAGGGAAACACGAGCACCAUGAUGUAGCUGAGCAGUAUUUUCAAGAGAGCAUGGCUCAUCUUAAGGAUUCUGAAGGGAUGGGAAGAACCAAAUUUCUUUCAAUUCAAGAUGAAUUUUGCCAUUUUCUGCAAAUGACUGGACAAAAAGAGAGAGCAACCUCGAUCCUGAGAGAGUCCCUGGAAGCCAAAGUGGAAGCAUUUGGCGAUUUCAGUCCCGAGGUGGCAGAGACAUACCGGCUCCUGGGAAGAGCAGACCUGGCGCAGGGGAACCACAGUGGGGCCCACAAGAAACUGAAGAAGUGUCUCCAGAUCCAGACCCUCUUAUAUGGACCACAGGACAAAAGGACUCUGGCCACCCAGCAGGCCAUGGGCAUGCUGUCCACGGCCCCCAAGGUUGCUUCGAAGCCAAAGCAGGCAUCAAAAGCCAAAGUGGCCUUCUGCACCAGCAUCCCUCAGGACACCCUGCUGGGGAAGGCCCGGCCCGGCACAACAGCAGACUGAGGCCCCCACCCUGAAAAAGCCUAGGACAUUCCUGGGCACUGUCAUUUAGGGUGCUGUACAAAUCACCUCCACCUAGAAAAUGGAAUUCAACAGUCAGGAUACAGAUUUCCAAGGCCAACUGUUGGCCCCAACAUGCAACAGUGAGACCGUAAGCCUCCCGUGGGCCACAUUUUGACAGUGGAUGCCCUUCAGGGUGAUAUAUGCUAUAAAGCAGUUUUCUAUCACCUAAGUGGUUUUUCUUGCCAACAAGAAUUUUUACCCAUCAGCACUACUGUGGCUGAAAAUCUUCUCUUCAACAGUUCAGUGCGCUCUGUGCAGGAGUCAGCCCGGCAUCUGCUUGUACACACAGCUCCUUGCAUAGGUGUGGAGUUAGAUCUGGACAGUGAACUUCAGGAAGGAAGUCCUUUCUUAUAGGAGGCUAACAGGGAUUGAGAAUAACAUGAGAAGAAAACGCUAAUAAAGGGAAACCCGAACGCGCUGCUGUCAGCAUGUGUUUUCAAAGUGCAGCCUGCCUCUGAGUUCUUCGGAGCCUGAAAAGGGGUUUGGGAAAGAGCCCAGUAGGAGGGGCAGGAGGCCAACACACCUGACUUGGCCUGGGGCCCAGGAGGCAGGUGUAAGGGAGUGAAAAGAAAGGCUAGCAGGAGGCUGCGGGGGGAAGACCGCAGACUCCCUGCUGCUUCGCAUCCCUCCUGUGGCCUCCACUGCAGGCAGGACAAACCUGGACGCCACCUGGAGCUGCUUCCUGAGUUGGCACACUAUCGUGUACACAGCAGUCUUCAGCCCCCUGGAAGGAGGCCAUAGUCGUGUGAGGAUGGCAAAGUCGAACAGGAAGCUUUGAGUGCCUUUCUCCACGAUGUCAACGAGGAGGUCCAGUGCCAGAUCAAGGUGGAUGGAACACCCAGGGGUAGGGGUGCAGGUGUGGGCGGUGACGUCCCUGCCCCUCCCUCCCCUGGUCCCACAGACUGUGGCCAUGAGGCUGCAGGCUGGUGCUAUGACAGGAGAUUGCAGCACAGGGCCCUCCCCUCCAGCCCCCAGUGGGACAUCAAAGCCCCCCUGGGGCCAUUUGUGCAGGGCACCACCUCCAGUAUUGAUAGGGAAAAUAAACUCAGUAGAGCCACGACAGGGUGGAGAGAAGCAGGGACCAUUGUCUUCCUCAGGAGCAUGACAGCUGACCCCACAGACCAUGCUUGCUGGUACACACUGGUCCCAGACCCAGGCCUGUCGGACAUCAGCAGUGUGCUAAAAAGGUGUAAGAUGUGGUCACUACUCACCGUGUGUCCUAUCUAGUUGACAUGGGUGGAGUCAGCUAAGGGGUGAAUGUUCAUAUGCUCCCAAUUCACGUUGAAGCCCUAAUCCCCAAAGGGAUGGUAUUAGGGGGUGGGGCCUUGGAGAGGUGAUUAGGUUAUGAGGGUGGAGCCCUGAUGAAUGGGAUUAGUGCUUUAUAAGGAGAGACACCAGAGAGAUGAUCUCUCUCUCCACCAUGUGAGGACACAGUGAGAAGACAGCUGUCUGCAGGCCAGGAAGAGAGCCCUCACCAGGAAGUGAAACUGUUGGCACCUUGAGACUUCCCAGCUUCCAGAACUGUAAGAAAUAAAUGUUUGUUGUUUAAGCC